UACGGAGGGUGCAAGCGUUAUCCGGAUUCACUGGGUUUAAAGGGUGCGUAGGUGGGCAGGUAAGUCAGUGGUGAAAUCUCCGGGCUUAACCCGGAAACUGCCAUUGAUACUAUCUGUCUUGAAUACCGUGGAGGUGAGCGGAAUAUGUCAUGUAGCGGUGAAAUGCUUAGAUAUGACAUAGAACACCGAUAGCGGAGGCAGCUUGCUACACAGUCAUUGACACUGAGGCACGAAAGCGUGGGGAUCAAACAGG
RNAcentral lists this ribosomal RNA (253 nucleotides) under uncultured bacterium. RNAcentral's name for it is "partial 16S ribosomal RNA". It matches the Rfam family "Bacterial small subunit ribosomal RNA", at positions 524 to 776 of the family's 1533-position model. The record is from RNAcentral.